UACGUAGGGCGCAAGCGUUGUCCGGAAUUAUUGGGCGUAAAGAGCUCGUAGGCGGUCUGUUACGUCCGCUGUGAAAACCCGGGGCUUAACCCUGGGCUGGCAGUGGAUACGGGCAGACUAGAGGUAGGUAGGGGAGAAUGGAAUUCCCGGUGUAGCGGUGAAAUGCGCAGAUAUCGGGAGGAACACCGGUGGCGAAGGCGGUUCUCUGGGCCUUACCUGACGCUGAGGAGCGAAAGCGUGUGGAGCGAACAGG
RNAcentral lists this ribosomal RNA (253 nucleotides) under uncultured bacterium. RNAcentral describes it as "partial 16S ribosomal RNA". It matches the Rfam family "Bacterial small subunit ribosomal RNA", at positions 524 to 776 of the family's 1533-position model. The record is from RNAcentral.